AGUCAUCGAACGGCGGGGUAUUCGCUUCGUCAUUCGACCCGAAGAGAGCCCGAGGCGGCGCGGCCGGCAGAAAAUGAUCGACCAUGUCGAUCCUGACGUCGCUCGGGGCCAGUGGACGUGGGAGCUGACCGCGGCGGGGCUCGAAUUCAGAGGUGGGCGGCCGCAGAAGUGAUCCUGCUCGACACCAAUGCGGUGAUCUGGCUGCAUCAGCGGGACCGCCGGACGAAACGGCUCGAGAAAAAUCUGACCUUGUACGCGUCGCCGGCCAGCCUCCUCGAGUUACAAAUCCUGGUCGAGGCGGGGCGUUUGCGCCUCCGGUCCGGGUUCCGGGUCGACCAGCUCGUCGGCGAUUCGCGGUUGCUCCUCGACGAUCCACCGGCGGCCGACUGGUUUUGCUCAAGCGGUCGACGUUGGCUGGACACGCGAUCCUUCGACCGACUGAUCGUGGCGCAUGCCGAGCUUCGCGGCUGGCGUCUCGCGACGGGCGAUUCGGAGCUCGUCACCAGGCUUGGCGAGCACCGGACUCUGGACCUUUCGUGAACCCGAGAGACGGAAAAGGGCCUGCAGGCCGCGCUCGUGCAACAGGCAUCAGAUUGUGCGUGUUGACACGGUUUGUUGCAGAACGGACAGCAAGGUUGUGAGAUGGUUGGGCACCGUGGGGUCUGAGGCGGUGCUGGCGCGGUUUGUAAUGAGAGUGCGCAAACCGCGAUCGUAGCCCAGAUAGAAAAACACUGCGGGCGUGCCAUACCGUCUCCUCGUGCAGGUCGAUCAGUAGUGUGGGGCUGUUGGCGCGAGUAUAGGAUGUCGAUGCGGAAUGGUUUGUAGCAGAUUGUGCGGCUUGCCUAGUGUCUUUUCAGAAUGCCGUUGUCAGCCGCAACCAGCGACCGCCGGAGUGUAGUGAUUUCAUAUAAAUAAAUUUACUGAUACGUACUUAUCAAUAGAAUUGUUGGGUGCACCCGAACUCGCCGAUCCAUGAGUGUCCCGCGUGUGGCGCGCAAACGUGUCAACAAUCACCUGCAUUUCCCAUGGGAACAUUGUUCAUGUCCUUUCAGAAGAUCCCGGCGCUGAGUUUGAUAGUGGUCGCAUUCUGCGUAGUGAGCUGUGGCGGACCCGAAUCAGGCACCCCGACUGCGCCAACUCCCACACCUUCCGCACCCGUGACUGUCACGUUGACGGCACCGAUUCAUGUCACUCCGGUCGAUGAUGCGCAAACCAACACGCUUCAACCCGAACUGGCAAUAGUCAACGCGACGUCCUCCCAAGGCGGGGCCAAGACGUAUGAAUUUCAAGUGUCGUCCGCGGCCGACUUCAUGGUGAUCGCAAUCACUGCUGAUAGUGUUCCAGAGGACGCCGAUGGCCAGACCGCUUGGGUGGUCUCGCCUCCGCUGCAGGGCACGACGCGGUACUGGUGGCGGGCUCGCGUUAAGCAAGGCUCGAACACCGGACCAUGGUCUACGCCGACGCGCUUCAGGUCCCGCAUCGAAGGAUUUAACAGGCCGGGGGAGCUGUUCGAUCCGCUCACGAACGGAUCGACGGUUGGAACGCUCAUCAACGCGACAUUGCUACCCGGCCAAGGUGUCAGACUGAAUUCGCUGGAGAGCCGGGUGACGUACACCCUGCCUCAGAAUCUCCCUGAAGGAGAGUUUUCCGUGCUGGCAACGGGACUGAACAGCAACUCUGCGGGUGACAGCACGAAGCUCUUCAGUAUGCAGCAGGGCUCGACGGAUAUGACGACCAACCCGUACCGGGCCACAAUUGAGAAACGCGAUCAUGGCACCGUGACGUUCCGCUUCAUUGCCGGAGACGUGAACGCGCGAGCCGACAGCACGCGCGAAGACUAUGUGUUCAACCCUAUGCUCCUGUACUUCUGGAAGUUCACCUGGGGAACGGCUUUGCACGGCUCGUCGUCCUCGAAGGUGGCGAGAAUGGCCGCGUGGUGUACAACCAGGGCGACAGUUACAGCGGCACGUAUCGGCCAGUCCCCCACAUUGCCCAUCUCGGAGCCCCUCCGGGCCGGGCCGGCAUCAACACGGCUUCAGUGCCCGGCGCGGUUAUCAGUAAUGUCUGGCUUGCCAGCAGACCGCGACCGUCGGGACUUGGCAGCGCAAUUGAUGCGCAAUAACCACCAGGAGCUACCGUGACCGCAAGUCAGGACGAAUGAGCUCUCCCCCGGUCUGCGCCUCGAUGAUGAGUUCUACCAAUCCACGUGCAUGCCGAGCUUGAUCAACCGGCCGCGCUGGAUGCCAUUGACCGCCCCAUAGCUGGGUCCGAGAAUAGACGAGCGCGCGAUGAUGGUUGCCGAGUUUGCAAGGUUAUAGAGGUCCAGACGCGGCUGGUACACCUUACCGCCACUCCUGAAGACCAUCCGGAAGCUCAUGUCGAGCUGAUUCAGAUCCGGCAGACGUGUCGUCCCACGCGGCUCGGUCGUGACGUUCGUGGUCCCUUGCGUCAACGCCACGGUAUUGCUGCCGACCGACACCUGCGUCAGCUCGGGAAAUCCUUUCUGGUGCUGGAACGUGCCGCUCAUCGAUAUGCCAGCGGCAGGUCGUACAGCCCCGAGAGGCGGAACGAAAACGGCGUAUCGUUCCCCACGAUUCCACGAGCGAAUUCCAUCGAAUUCGGGUUGUUCAGGUCGGUGUUGCCGACAUAGCCCGUGGUCUCGCCGAUGCUGACGCCGCCGGUCAUCAUCCAGCCAUCGCUCAUCCGCUUGUUGAGGGAAAUAUCCGUGCCGUUGUAGGUGCUGUCGAGUUCGGGUGCGUUUGUCCAGACCAAGUCCUGCCGCCCGCGCAAAGCGGGCGAUUGGUUGUAGACCGUCACAGGGACUCCGCUGCUGGCCUCUACCACGUUCAACGGAAUGUACGUGUCCAUCGGAACCGCGACGUUACGAGAAC
RNAcentral lists this unclassified non-coding RNA (2891 nucleotides) under uncultured fungus. RNAcentral's name for it is "sequence contains 18S rRNA gene, ITS1, 5.8S rRNA gene, ITS2, 28S rRNA gene". Lineage: Eukaryota; Fungi. The record is from RNAcentral.